CCUACGGGAGGCAGCAGUGGGGGAUAUUGCACAAUGGGGGAAACCCUGAUGCAGCGACGCCGCGUGAGUGAAGAAGUAUUUCGGUAUGUAAAGCUCUAUCAGCAGGGAAGAAAAUGACAGUACCUGACCAAGAAGCCCCGGCUAACUACGUGCCAGCUGCCGUGGUAAUACGUCGGGGGCAAGCGUUAUCCGGAUUUACUGGGUGUUAAGGGAGCGUAGACGGGUAUGUAAGUCUGGAGUGAAAGCCCGGGGCUGAACCCCCGGACAGCUUUGGAAACUGUGUAACUGGAGUACAGGAGAGGCAGGCGGAAUGCGUGGUGUAGCGGUGAAAUGCGUAGAUAUCAGGAAGAACACCGGCGGCGAAGGCGGCAUGCUGGACUGAAACUGACGUUGAGGCACGAAAGCGUGGGGAGCAAACAGGAUUAGAUACCCCUGUAGUC
This 440-nucleotide ribosomal RNA is filed under the name uncultured bacterium. Its description in RNAcentral is "partial 16S ribosomal RNA". It matches the Rfam family "Bacterial small subunit ribosomal RNA", at positions 338 to 795 of the family's 1533-position model. The record is from RNAcentral.